Molecule: ribosomal RNA, 1164 nt
Filed under: Laurencia nidifica
Lineage: Eukaryota; Rhodophyta; Florideophyceae; Ceramiales; Rhodomelaceae
Description: SSU rRNA
Rfam family: Eukaryotic small subunit ribosomal RNA
Source: RNAcentral
UACAACGAAACUGCGAAUGGCUCGGUAAAACAGCAAUAAUUUAUUCGGGGGUAAUUGCUACUUGGAUAACCGUAGUAAAGCUAGAGCUAAUACGUGCUACAAAGGCGAGAUUCGCUCUCGUGGUACUAAGUAUUAGGUACAACCCAAUUUUUUUGGUGAUUCAUACUUAUCUUCUGAUCGCACUCUGUGCGACGCCCCGAAUAAAUUUCUGACCUAUCAACUUCGAUGGUAAGGUAGUGUCUUACCAUGGUUGUGACGGGUAACGGACCGUGGGUGCGGGAUUCCGGAGAGGGAGCCUGAGAAACGGCUACCACAUCCAAGGAAGGCAGCAGGCGCGCAACUUACCCAAUCCGAACUUCGGGAGGUAGUGACAAAAAAUAUCAAUAAGGGGACCGAUGGUCUUCUUAAUUGGAAUGAAAACAAUCUAAACACCUUAUUAAGGAACCAGCAGAGGGCAAGUCUGGUGCCAGCAGCCGCGGUAAUUCCAGCUCUGUAAGCGUAUACCAAAGUUGUUGCAGUUAAAACGCUCGUAGUCGAACUUUGGCGUGAGUUACGGAGACUCCUAAUGGACGUUGAAGUAACUCCGCCUUUGUGGAGGGGGGCGCGGUGGUACUUCAUUGUGUUGCUGCGUUUCCGCCACUGUUUACUGUGAAAAAAUUAGAGUGUUCAAAGCGAGCGUUUGCCAUGAAUACAUUAGCAUGGAAUAAUAGAAUAGGACCUGGUCCUGUUUUGUUGGUUUGUCUGUAUCAGGUAAUGAUUAACAGGGACGGUCGGGGGCAUUUGUAUUCCAGCGUUAGAGGUGAAAUUCUUGGAUCGCUGGAAGACAAACAGCUGCGAAAGCGUCUGCCAAGGACGUUUUCAUUGAUCAAGAACGAAAGUAAGGGGAUCGAAGACGAUCAGAUACCGUCGUAGUCUUUACUAUAAACGAUGAUGACUAAGGAUCAGCCGUGGCCUAUUGGUACGGUUGGCACUUUCCGGGAAACCAAAGUUUUUGAUUUCUGGGGGGAGUAUGGUCGCAAGUCUGAAACUUAAAGGAAUUGACGGAAGGGCAUCACCGGGUGUGGAGCCUGCGGCUUAAUUUGACUCAACACGGGAAAACUUACCAGGUCCAGACAUAGUAAGGAUUGACAGAUUGAGAGCUCUUUCUUGAUUCUAUGGUUGGUG